AACGAACGCUGGCGGCAGGCCUAACACAUGCAAGUCGAACGCCCUAGCAAUAGGGAGUGGCAGACGGGUGAGUAACGCGUGGGAACCUUCCCUGUGGUGCGGAAUAACUCGCCGAAAGGCGUGCUAAUACCGCAUAAGCCCGCAAGGGGAAAGAUUUAUCGCCAUAGGAUGGGCCCGCGUAGGAUUAGCUAGUUGGUGAGGUAAUGGCUCACCAAGGCGACGAUCCUUAGCGGUUUGAGAGAAUGACCAGCCACACUGGGACUGAGACACGGCCCAGACUCCUACGGGAGGCAGCAGUGGGGAAUAUUGGACAAUGGGCGCAAGCCUGAUCCAGCGAUGCCGCGUGUGUGAAGAAGGCCUGCGGGUUGUAAAGCACUUUCAGUAGGGAAGAAAGCCGAGUGCUAAUA
Molecule: ribosomal RNA, 407 nt
Filed under: uncultured bacterium
Lineage: Bacteria
Description: bacterial SSU rRNA
Rfam family: Bacterial small subunit ribosomal RNA
Source: RNAcentral